CACCAAACGUUUGCGCCGCCCGAGGUGAGGAGGCGCGCCGAAGUGACUUGGUUCUAUCGCGGCGCUGGGGAUUCCUACCGGCUGGUGGGGCCGCGGCGGUUAGGCUCAUCAGAGAAUGCAACUGUCUCUUACCUACCUAUGACUUGGAACCCUCCUCCCCACUUGGAGUCGUCCUGCCUUUCCAGCUCAAACCAAUGUUUAUCUUACAUGUAUUGAUUGCUGUCCCAUGUCUCCCUAAAAUUUAAAUAAACUUUCUGAGUUGAUUGGGA
This is a long non-coding RNA of Chlorocebus sabaeus (green monkey), 269 nucleotides long. RefSeq lists it as uncharacterized. The record is from RefSeq and is a predicted model, not a curated record. Lineage: Eukaryota; Metazoa; Chordata; Mammalia; Primates; Cercopithecidae.